This 97-nucleotide ribosomal RNA is filed under the name uncultured bacterium. RNAcentral's name for it is "partial 16S ribosomal RNA". It matches the Rfam family "Bacterial small subunit ribosomal RNA", at positions 1386 to 1482 of the family's 1533-position model. The record is from RNAcentral.
CACACCGCCCGUCACACCAUGGGAGUUGGUCUUACCCGACGGCGCUGCGCCAACCGCAAGGAGGCAGGCGAUCACGGUAGGGUCAGCGACUGGGGUG